CGGCAGCACAGAGGAGCUUGCUCCUUGGGUGGCGAGUGGCGGACGGGUGAGUAAUGCAUCGGGACCUACCCUGUCGUGGGGGAUAACCUCGGGAAACCGGGACUAAUACCGCAUACGACCUACGGGUGAAAGCGGGGGACCUUCGGGCCUCGCGCGACUGGACGGACCGAUGUUCCAUUAGCUAGUUGGUGUGGUAACGGCACACCAAGGCUACGAUGGGUAGGGGCCCUGAGAGGGGGAUCCCCCACACUGGUACUGAGACACGGACCAGACUCCUACGGGAGGCAGCAGUGAGGAAUAUUGGACAAUGGGCGAGAGCCUGAUCCAGCCAUGCCGCGUGCAGGAAGACUGCCCUAUGGGUUGUAAACUGCUUUUUUACGGGAAGAAACACCCUCUCGUGAGGGGGCUUGACGGUACCGUACGAAUAAGGACCGGCUAACUCCGUGCCAGCAGCCGCGGUAAUACGGAGGGUCCCGAGCGUUAUCCGGAAUCAUUGGGUUUAAAGGGUCCGUAGGCGGGCGAUUAAGUCAGUGGUGAAAUUCUGCAGCUCAACUGUAGACCUGCCAUUGAUACUGGUCGUCUUGAAUCGUUGUGAAGUGGCUAGAAUAUGUGGUGUACCGGUGAAAUGCUUAGAUAUUACAUAGAAUACCGAUUGCGAAGGCAGGUCACUAACAACGUAUUGACGCUGAUGGACGAAAGCGUGGGGAGCGAACAGGAUUAGAUACCCUGGUAGUCCACGCCGUAAACGAUGGAUACUAGCUGUCCGGCCCACAUUGGUGGGCUGGGUGGCCAAGCGAAAGUGAUAAGUAUCCCACCUGGGGAGUACGUUCGCAAGAAUGAAACUCAAAGGAAUUGACGGGGGCCCGCACAAGCGGUGGAGCAUGUGGUUUAAUUCGAUGAUACGCGAGGAACCUUACCAGGGCUUAAAUGUAGUCUGACAGGAUUGGAAACAGUCUUUUCUUCGGACAGAUUACAAGGUGCUGCAUGGUUGUCGUCAGCUCGUGCCGUGAGGUGUCAGGUUAAGUCCUAUAACGAGCGCAACCCCUGUUGUUAGUUGCCAGCGAGUCAAGUCGGGAACUCUAACAAGACUGCCGGUGCAAACCGUGAGGAAGGUGGGGAUGACGUCAAAUCAUCACGGCCCUUACGUCCUGGGCCACACACGUGCUACAAUGGCAGGUACAAUGGGCAGCCACUGCGUAAGCAGGAGCGAAUCCACAAAACCUGUCUCAGUUCGGAUCGGGGUCUGCAACUCGACCCCGUGAAGCUGGAAUCGCUAGUAAUCGGAUAUCAGCCAUGAUCCGG
RNAcentral lists this ribosomal RNA (1302 nucleotides) under uncultured bacterium GR-Sh1-5. Its description in RNAcentral is "bacterial SSU rRNA". It matches the Rfam family "Bacterial small subunit ribosomal RNA", at positions 67 to 1362 of the family's 1533-position model. The record is from RNAcentral.